RNAcentral lists this ribosomal RNA (408 nucleotides) under uncultured bacterium. Its description in RNAcentral is "partial 16S ribosomal RNA". It matches the Rfam family "Bacterial small subunit ribosomal RNA", at positions 28 to 526 of the family's 1533-position model. The record is from RNAcentral.
GACGAACGCUGGCGGCGUGCUUAACACAUGCAAGUCGAACGAAGUGGCGAACGGGUGAGUAACGCGUAAGCAACCUGCCCUUCAGAGGGGGAAAACAGUUGGAAACGACUGCUAAUACCGCAUACUGAAGGAGGGGACUGCGUUUGAUUAGCUAGUUGGAGGGGUAACGGCCCACCAAGGCGAGGAUCAGUAGCCGGUCUGAGAGGGUGGACGGCCAAAUUGGGACCUGGACCAGGCCCAAACUGCUACGGGAGGCAGCAGUGGGGAAGUUUUCGGAAUGGAAGAAAGUCUGACGGGGCAACGCCGCGUGAGUGAUGACGGCCUUCGGGUUGUAAAGCUCCGUUAAUCGGGACGCGGUACCGGAAUAGAAAGCCACGGCUAACUACGUGCCAGCCGCCGCGGUAAUAC